RNAcentral lists this transfer RNA (77 nucleotides) under Candidatus Fermentibacterota bacterium. RNAcentral describes it as "tRNA-Arg". It matches the Rfam family "tRNA". From Rfam's summary of the family: Transfer RNA (tRNA) molecules are approximately 80 nucleotides in length. The record is from RNAcentral. Lineage: Bacteria; Pseudomonadati; Candidatus Fermentibacterota.
GCGCCUGUAGCUCAACCGGAUAGAGCAUCGGACUUCUAAUCCGAGGGUUCCGAGUUCAAGUCUCGGCAGGCGUACCA